This 301-nucleotide ribosomal RNA is filed under the name uncultured bacterium. RNAcentral describes it as "partial 16S ribosomal RNA". It matches the Rfam family "Bacterial small subunit ribosomal RNA", at positions 509 to 809 of the family's 1533-position model. The record is from RNAcentral.
CAGUAGCCACGGGAAUGCGUAGGUGGCAAGCGUUGUCCGGAAUUAUUGGGCGUAAAGGGCUCGCAGGCGGUUUCUUAAGUCUGAUGUGAAAGCCCCCGGCUCAACCGGGGAGGGUCAUUGGAAACUGGGAAACUUGAGUGCAGAAGAGGAGAGUGGAAUUCCACGUGUAGCGGUGAAAUGCGUAGAGAUGUGGAGGAACUCCAGUGGCGAAGGCGACUCUCUGGUCUGUAACUGACGCUGAGGAGCGAAAGCGUGGGGAGCGAACAGGAUUAGAUACCCCCGUAGUCCCUGUCUCUUAUAA